AGCAGCCGCGGUAAUUCCAGCUCCAAUAGCGUAUAUUAAAGUUGUUGCAGUUAAAAAGCUCGUAGUUGAAUUUCGGGGUCAGUAGGUCGGUCGUGCCACUGGUAUGAACUGGUUUUACUGAUUCCUCCUUCUUGAAGAACUGUAAUGCCAUUAAUUUGGUGUUGCAGGGAAUCAGGACUGUUACUUUGAAAAAAUUAGAGUGUUUAAAGCAGGCUUUAGCUUGAAUACAUUAGCAUGGAAUAAUGAAAUAGGACGUUUGAUCCUAUUUUGUUGGUUUCUAGGAUUGACGUAAUGAUUAAUAGGGAUAGUUGGGGGCAUUAGUAUUCAAUUGUCAGAGGUGAAAUUCUUGGAUUUAUUGAAGACUAACUACUGCGAAAGCAUUUGCCAAGGAUGUUUUCAUUAAUCAAGAACGAAAGUUAGGGGAUCGAAGACGAUCAGAUACCGUCGUAGUCUUAACCAUAAACUAUGCCGACUAGGGAUCGGAUGAUGUUAUUUUUAAUGACUCAUUCGGCGCCUUACG
RNAcentral lists this ribosomal RNA (520 nucleotides) under uncultured Glomus. RNAcentral describes it as "SSU rRNA". It matches the Rfam family "Eukaryotic small subunit ribosomal RNA", at positions 569 to 1092 of the family's 1831-position model. Lineage: Eukaryota; Fungi; Glomeromycota; Glomeromycetes; Glomerales; Glomeraceae. The record is from RNAcentral.